RNAcentral lists this ribosomal RNA (497 nucleotides) under uncultured bacterium. Its description in RNAcentral is "partial 16S ribosomal RNA". It matches the Rfam family "Bacterial small subunit ribosomal RNA", at positions 29 to 507 of the family's 1533-position model. The record is from RNAcentral.
UAUGCACGCUGGCGGCGUGCCUAAUACAUGCAAGUCGAGCGAACGGACGAGAAGCUUGCUUUUCUGAUGUUAGCGGCGGACGGGUGAGUAACACGUAGAUAACCUACCUAUAAGACUGGGAUAACUUCGGGAAACCGGAGCUAAUACCGGAUAAUAUUUUGAACCGCAUGGUUCAAAAGUGAAAGACGGUCUUGCUGUCACUUAUAGAUGGAUCCGCGCUGCAUUAGCUAGUUGGUAAGGUAACGGCUUACCAAGGCAACGAUGCAUAGCCGACCUGAGAGGGUGAUCGGCCACACUGGAGCUGAGACACGGUCCAGACUCCUACGGGAGGCAGCAGUAGGGAAUCUUCCGCAAUGGGCGAAAGCCUGACGGAGCAACGCCGCGUGGGUGAUGAAGGUCUUCGGCUCGUAAAACUCUGUUAUUAGGGAAGAACAUAUGUGUAAGUAACUGUGCACAUCUUGACGGUACCUAAUCAGAAAGCCACGGCUAACUACGUG